RNAcentral lists this ribosomal RNA (550 nucleotides) under uncultured bacterium. Its description in RNAcentral is "bacterial SSU rRNA". It matches the Rfam family "Bacterial small subunit ribosomal RNA", at positions 355 to 896 of the family's 1533-position model. The record is from RNAcentral.
UAGGGAAUCUUCCGCAAUGGGCGAAAGCCUGACGGAGCAACGCCGCGUGAGUGAUGAAGGUCUUCGGAUCGUAAAACUCUGUUAUUAGGGAAGAACAUAUGUGUAAGUAACUGUGCACAUCUUGACGGUACCUAAUCAGAAAGCCACGGCUAACUACGUGCCAGCAGCCGCGGUAAUACGUAGGUGGCAAGCGUUAUCCGGAAUUAUUGGGCGUAAAGCGCGCGUAGGCGGUUUUUUAAGUCUGAUGUGAAAGCCCACGGCCCAACCGUGGAGGGUCAUUGGAAACUGGAAAACUUGAGUGCAGAAGAGGAAAGUGGAAUUCCAUGUGUAGCGGUGAAAUGCGCAGAGAUAUGGAGGAACACCAGUGGCGAAGGCGACUUUCUGGUCUGUAACUGACGCUGAUGUGCGAAAGCGUGGGGAUCAAACAGGAUUAGAUACCCUGGUAGUCCACGCCGUAAACGAUGAGUGCUAAGUGUUAGGGGGUUUCCGCCCCUUAGUGCUGCAGCUAACGCAUUAAGCACUCCGCCUGGGGAGUACGACCGCAAGGUUG